Molecule: long non-coding RNA, 2752 nt
Organism: Octopus bimaculoides (California two-spot octopus)
Lineage: Eukaryota; Metazoa; Mollusca; Cephalopoda; Octopoda; Octopodidae
Source: RefSeq, a predicted model, not a curated record
GAUCUUUUAGAAUAUUAAAAACCAUUUGAAUGCUCGAAGGUUCAACGCUAGUGUUGUUACUAUUAUGUCACAAUUGAAUACAUUUAAAAAGAAAUAAAGUUCAUAAUAUCUGAGUUGGAACUUCUCGUUGCUAUAAAAGAGUGUUUUCUGUAAUAAAUAAGGUGUGGUCAGAUGAGCGGGGCAGUAUACUAGAAUCUACUACGAAAAGCGUUCUGAUGACUAAACGAAACAUCUCAUUAAGCAGCUGAGAAUUUCAUUUGGUAAAGCCAAAUAUAGUAAUGAGUGUUUUUUCCUUUUUUUUUAGAAAGUUUCAAGUGGAAAAUAUAAAUAAAAUACUUCUCAUUAUAUAAAGUAUUACUCGACAUUUACCAUGUAUACUUAGUUUGAUUUACUUAUAAAUGUUACUGGUCUACUUGACAAUAUUGUGCUGUUAUGAAAACAAAAGUUGCUUUGCACAUCUAUUUCUGUUCACUUUAUCUCUCUCUUUGUCCCUUACCCUGACUCUUAAUCUUGUACAUGAUAAAGACAUCAUACGUCUUGACAGAUCGAAAUUGUUGGACAAUGUAGACAAUAAAGAUUUGAAUUGAUCAAGUCAUUCAUUGUGGAAUUCCUGCUAAGAAUGUGGCAAAUAUCAGACGACAUUAACCCUUAAACGGCUGACAUCAUUAACCGAUGGAUUUUUCAUUAGACAAACAGCAGACCUCAUCAACUGAUGUUUCAAAAAUUUUACUUAGGUCCAGUCAUCAUCAAUUGGCUCUCGAGUGCCCGACUUCCUUAAAUACACCUACGCAUAAGCAGCCCUUAUCUGUGGGAGAAAUUAAGUUGCAAAUGAAAUAUUUAUGCAGCGAUGACGACUAUUUAUUUCCUCAUUUUCCUUCGUCAUCAGAUGAAGUAGACGAUACUUAUGAUGUUCGAGAUAGUUUAGAAGAAAGUUCUGUAUGAAAAAAGUACAUAAAUUUUUCUCCAUUUGUACAUUCGUUUGACAACACUGCAGAAAUUUCAAUUGCGUGCCUUAAUUUUUAUUAUCUAAGAGAAUUAAGAUAUUUUCAUUGUGUUUGUACUUAUUUAAAGUGAAAAUAUGAGUAAAAACGAUCCAUUUUUGUUUUUUGCUCGUUUGGCACACUUAUUCACGUAACCUUCUCCCACUAUUCAAGGGUUAAGAGACUCUCCAUAGUUAAACAUAGUUAGACAGGCAAAUUAAGUCGGUGUUGAGCUACUGAAGGCUAGUUUCGAAAAACCAAAAAGAUUUCCCAGGGCAAGUAAUGAAAAUAAAGGAAAUAUUCAUGCCAAUCACGAAGUUUCAAAACAUAUGGAAUGUUUGUCAAAAAGAAUAUUUACCGACAUUGUUUGUUGCGAAAGGAAAUUUAUAUUUGCUUAUAUCAGCUUGUUUGUAAUAGAGUUCAAAUGAUGAGUAGAAGAAAUCUCCAUAGAUGUUGAAACUUAUUUAAGGGAUACUUGCAGUUAAUCGAAAUUUUUUUUUCACUAGCGCUUAACGAGAGCAAAAGACUUGAGAAAUAUUGCUUAAUAUGGAAUUAUGCAGGAGCGACCAUUAGAUUAAAAAAUGUUUGAAGAUUUAUUGAAAAAGGCUGAAAUGGAAGUUUAUGUACCAAAGCUAAGAGGCAUCUCAACUGAUGGGGCAUCGAUAAUUGUGGCAAAGAAGAAAGACAUCAUGACAUUGCUGCAAGGAUAAAUGGUAAACCUCGAAACCGCGCCCAAGCUUCCUGAACUUCAAUUAUCAAUCAAAAGUUAUGUGUCAAGUCUUUGAAAUCAAGGAAUAUCAUGAACAUUGUUGAGAAAAUAAUGACAAUCCUCUCUCAUCAAUUAAAUCGUGAUCAAAUUUAGAAGUUUUUGUUGGAAACAGAAUAUGGAAACCGGGCUUAUUUCUGCAAUAUGCGAUAACUUAACCGAAGGUCAAGUAGGGGAAUGGGUAUUUGCGUUACACAAAGAAGUGGCAGUAAAACUUGCAAAGCUAAAAUGCGGAUACUCUGAAAGGGCUAAAGACAGAUACCUUCCUUUUUGGCCGAGACUUCAUCAACUUCUUCAAAUUCUACUUAGGGAAAUAUUGCCUUCCAGCAAUUUGUUGAAAGGUGGGUGAAUGUGGCAAAAAUGGUCCGAGUGAACAGGCCUGCUCUGAGCAUGCGACUAUAGAUUGAGGGAAGAGGACGAAGGGAGGGAACUUGUCUUUGUGCUCAGAGUGACAGUGGUUUUGUCAAAUUUCCUUGAGCAGCCUUCGGAAAUCUCUCUUUUUUAAGGAAAGUUUUUCUGCUCUGAAUUUUUUGUUUCUUUUUUUUUUGUUACUUUACUAUUUACAGGCUUUUAUGUAACUCCACAUUGCAGCGUCUUUGUACCGUCCUCGCCCAUUUUGCAAACCUUUGGGUGUUAAUGAAGUCACUGUUGGAAUCGAACAAACUACUGCUCUGUUACAAUAUAAAGAUAGAAGCUGAACACAAUGUAGAAUUAAACACAAUAUUGUUUACAGACGGAUUAACAAAAUUAAGUUGAUUUUGCAAUGAAGCACAAAACAAUGUCAGUAAAAGAUUUCAAUAAUGAACUUUUCUCUAAGUUGGAAAUAUCAAAUCGACUGUUUACUAUGAACUCUGCAGAGUUAAUAGCCAAGUAUAUCGAGGUCAAACACCGCCACCACCUACAUGUCUACUGUUGAUUGAAAAUGUUAAUAGCGUAAAGCAGCAGCCGUUUUAACUGAAAGAUACUAUUACAAAUAUUUUACGAAUAAUAGUUGUUUUAUCGUUCA